UACAGAGGGUGCGAGCGUUGUUCGGAAUUACUGGGCGUAAAGCGCGCGCAGGCGGUUCUUCAAGUCAGGGGUGGAAGCCCAGAGCUCAACUCUGGAAUGGCCUUUGAGACUAGAGAACUAGGGUACGGGAGAGGUGAGUGGAAUUCCGAGUGUAGAGGUGAAAUUCGUAGAUAUUCGGAAGAACACCAGUGGCGAAGGCGGCUUUCUGGGCAUUUCCUGACGCUGAGACGCGAAAGCGUGGGGAGCGAACCGG
RNAcentral lists this ribosomal RNA (253 nucleotides) under uncultured bacterium. RNAcentral's name for it is "partial 16S ribosomal RNA". It matches the Rfam family "Bacterial small subunit ribosomal RNA", at positions 524 to 776 of the family's 1533-position model. The record is from RNAcentral.